AUGGCUGCUCUCCCUCCUGCACCCCCCUACUUGGUCGACUUCCUCACCUACGGCUACGAUGCUUUCUGCACGCCCAAUAGAUUUUGCAUGAACUACAUGACCCCCAUCUGCUCCCACUGCUGCCCGAACCAUGCAGCGGCGCAUCACGGGGCGCAGUACCGAGAUCCACGGUGUCCAGAGGUGCGUUUCGCCCCCACCCCCACUGUUAAACUCACUAAGAUGUACGGGGGUUUCGGGCAUUGUGUCGAGUAUUUCGAUGCAAACAGAUGCGGCUACAAGUGGGAGCAGAUCCACAGGGUUAGGUACGGGCAGGAAGUUCUUGUCCCACUCCACCGACGAGCUGGUGCGCGGCAACGCCCAGGGCGAGUCCGCAGUUAUUGCAACAGGUGCAAUGAUCCUAUGGCUUCGACAGAAGCGUCGUGCUCCACCGAGUGCAAGCUCGCGGUGGUCGACGAAGGGAGGCCUGCAGGGAGGGCGAAGGCACAGGCCAUGGUGAAUGCUGACUUCCACCAGCGAUUCUUCCCCGAUAGGUUUUGUACGCUGUGCAGGAGAUUUUACGCCUCGGCUUUCUGCGGCACUCAUGCCCAGUCGCACCAUCCCGGGCAGGGCGGCGAGAUUAUCAGAUUUGUGCGAGCCCAGGGGAUGGUGCUGACGCCGGUGGCGGGAGUACUGCCCGGCCAUGUCGUCGACGGCGUACAGGUCAUCUACGUUGGUGGCAUCCCGAUGGUUCCCAUUCUCAGCCCUGCGGUGCCUGCAGACCUCGAGUCCGAGAACAUGUGCCCCAUCUGCUAUCAAGUAAUCGGAGCCGGCAACUUCUGUUCUUUGCAUUGCAAGUGGACUAGUUUUCGGGACUUGCAGCGAUGGUCUGUGCUUCCUUCGUGUGUGGGGAAUCCGCUAUCUCGGUGGGGGAGGUUGAGGUCUGCGCGUUGUGCCGUAGUCUGGAGGAAGAGGGAGCUUGAAGACAUCGGCAGUGGUGGGAUUGGAGUGGUGCCAUGGUUCAAUCAUGUCCGUCUGUAG
This 1017-nucleotide ribosomal RNA is filed under the name Triticum aestivum (bread wheat). RNAcentral describes it as "partial small subunit ribosomal RNA". Lineage: Eukaryota; Viridiplantae; Streptophyta; Magnoliopsida; Poales; Poaceae. The record is from RNAcentral.